ACGCGCAUGCGGAAGGGGCGGUAGCCGGCCGGGCCUGGGAACGUGGCUGGUUGGAGGAGGUAGAUCACCCUUUCUGCGGUGGACGAUUUCGUCGGUGGUAGGCUGCUACCAUGAGGUUGAAUCAGAACACCUUGCUGCUGGGGAAGAAGGUGGUCCUUGUACCCUACACCUCGGAGCAUGUGCCCAGCAGGUACCACGAGUGGAUGAAAUCAGAGGAGCUGCAGCGUUUGACAGCCUCGGAGCCGCUGACCCUGGAGCAGGAGUAUGCCAUGCAGCGCAGCUGGCAGGAAGAUGCAGACAAGUGUACCUUCAUUGUGCUGGAUGCCGAGAAGUGGCAGGCCCAGCCAGGCGCCACCGAAGAGAGCUGCAUGGUGGGAGAUGUGAACCUCUUCCUCACAGAUCUAGAAGACCCCACCUUGGGGGAGAUCGAGGUCAUGAUUGCAGAAUGGUAACGAUAGUAGCAACUUCAGAGUUGUUGAGAAUUAAAUGAGAUGGUGUCUGCCAAGUGCCCGCACUGAAGCCUGGCACAUGGCGUCAGCGCCGCU
RNAcentral lists this small RNA (545 nucleotides) under Pan troglodytes (chimpanzee). Its description in RNAcentral is "processed transcript". The record is from RNAcentral. Lineage: Eukaryota; Metazoa; Chordata; Mammalia; Primates; Hominidae.